This 907-nucleotide long non-coding RNA is filed under the name Toxoplasma gondii VEG. Lineage: Eukaryota; Apicomplexa; Conoidasida; Eucoccidiorida; Sarcocystidae. The record is from RNAcentral.
UUCUUCAUUAUGCCACCAUGGCAUUCGAUUUUGUCGCAGUGGCCUUCGAACACUCCGACGAUAUGCACGCAUGCGCCUCCAGGCGGUAUCUUCGCCUCCAAUUGCAUUAUCAGGUUGGGAGUAGCCUGGACACCUUCAGAUGUUUUCCGUUGCUCUUGCAUUCUUCUCUUACGUCGCACUUCCGAGCGUCUUUUUCUGCCCGAAUGACCGCCUGUCUCGCCAUCCCUGUUCAGAGUUUCACUUGUACCUUGCUGGCUCUCCGAAGACACAUUUCUAUGAGGGUGUACUGCUGGAGUAGUCCCUCGAGCCUGCGCUUGCUUGAUAGUGGUUUCUUCGAAGGACGCCAAACUGCUUGGAAUUGCUUCACUGUUUAGUUUGGAUAUAGGUGACCCCUCGGUGGCUGACUGUCUUCCCUGGGUUUGAAGACUUGCUUCGUUUGUUGGAGACCUUUGACUAUCGGCUUUCAGCUGGAAGUCAAAGUUGUCAGCCAGUUCAUAAUCUACCUCCAUCUCAGCUUCUGUGUCGUCUACAAUCCAGACGUCCUCAUUUAGAUCUUCCUCCAUAUCGUCAGAAAGAGUAUCACCUAUUUCUAGUUCAUCCAUUCCUUGAUCGGUGCGAUGCCCUUCGCUUUUUGCGUCUUCUUUCCAUGAUCCUUCUUGUUGCAUUUCUUCCUCAUCGAGUGGAUUCGUUUCUGCUUCGACAUGCAUUUCACUGAGAGUGUUUUGCAAAAGAACGUCUACGAAUGAGUCAGGGAAUACUGACCGAAGUUCACUGGCUACUUUGUGAAUUUUCGCUUUCCUACGUUGUAGAGAAUUCGUAUCCUCCAUUCUUUUGAGUGAUCGUGGUGAUGGUGACAACCGAUUAGCUUCCGCUGCUUGUGCAAUCCUGUCAACCGUACCGAAGGCGU